UCAUAAGUACAGGGGUGCUGGAAUUGGCCGGCUGAGAGUGUGUCCCACAAGACACUGACCCUUAUACCUGAUCUGGAUAAUGCCAGCGUAGGAACUAGCCGAUAUGGUUCA
Molecule: non-coding RNA, 111 nt
Filed under: Paenibacillus sp.
Lineage: Bacteria; Bacillati; Bacillota; Bacilli; Caryophanales; Paenibacillaceae
Also listed under: 1 other name
Description: TPP sequence
Rfam family: TPP riboswitch aptamer (THI element)
About the family: Vitamin B(1) in its active form thiamin pyrophosphate (TPP) is an essential coenzyme that is synthesised by coupling of pyrimidine and thiazole moieties in bacteria. The previously detected thiamin-regulatory element, thi box was extended, resulting in a new, highly conserved RNA secondary structure, the THI element, which is widely distributed in eubacteria and also occurs in some archaea.
Source: RNAcentral